Long non-coding RNA from Zophobas morio, 3023 nucleotides. RefSeq lists it as uncharacterized. The record is from RefSeq and is a predicted model, not a curated record. NCBI's taxonomy places the organism in Eukaryota, Metazoa, Arthropoda, Insecta, Coleoptera, Tenebrionidae. The transcript has 3 exons.
UAAAAGCUCUUUGUACAGUUCGUGCGAAAAAAAAUGUGUUGACUUCAGUUAGUUAAAUUUGGUGCUAGUGAAUUUGCUCAGAGAGUUCUUUCGCAGUUCACAGUUUCGAAAAGACAGGCCCGAUCUUUCUUUCGAAGAAGUAACUAUGGGGGUCUCGAACAUAUUUUCUGUGGGAACAUCAACUGUGGCGAAAAUUUUAUCAACAGGGGACCAGAAUUUAAAAACAUCACUAUCUGGCAAGCGAAAACCAACGGAUUUAUUUACAAAUUAUAUGUUUCGGAAAGACCUGCAACGACAAAUUUGGCGACUUGGUGAAAAAAACGAAUAUUUCACUGUAGAUACUCUUUUAGCAUAUUCUAGGGAACAGUUGGAAUUUAAAGGGGGGCGAACCACAUUAUACAAAAUUGUUAAGUCAAUGGGUUAUAAACACAGGGAAGUAAAUGGUCGCAAAAUUCUAUGUGAACAAAAACAUGUCGUUGCAGCCAAAAUUACUUUUUUGAGAACAUAUUUACAGUUUCUAAAUUCUUGUGAAAAUUUGACUUUCGUGUAUUUGGAUGAAACAUGGAUCUAUCAAAAUGGUUCGUCCAUUCGUCGUUGGGUUCACGAUACUUAUUUAAAAAGCAAUCCCACCAAAAUUAAAAGUGAAGGAUCAAGGUUUACUAUUCUCCUGGCGGGUUGUUCAACGGGGUUCUUGGAUGGUUGUAAGAAUUUUUUAAAUUCAAAAAAUAAUCAUAAAACGAUGGACGGGACAAUUUUUCAAAAUUGGGUGGUUAAUCAGCUCAUUCCUGCUUUGGCAAAGUUGAACCAAAAAUGUGUGGUGGUUUUAGAUAAUGCACCGUAUCAUUCGGUUCAGUUGGAUAAACCACCCACUUUUUCUAGUAAAAAAUGUGAAAUGCAGGAAUGGCUCUUUAAACAUAGUGUUGAAUUUGACAAAAAAUUUUCGAAGAAACAGUUGUGGGAUUUAAUUAAAUCCGUCAGGAACAAUAGAAAAAAAAGAUAUUUGGUAGACGAGACAUUAAGAGAAAGUGGCCAUGAAGUUCUAAGAUUACCUCCGUGCCAUUGUCAAUAUAAUCCAAUUGAAAUGGCGUGGGGAUUUUGAACUAUUACAACAAGCAUAUAAAUUCUCAGCCUUCAUUAAAAAAUAGGGUGGAGAAUUUAUGGCUUGAUGCGCUUUUUAAAUGUAGGGGAACGAGGGGCUUGUUGUAACAGUUUUUAGGAAAACGAAUAUAAUUUGGUAUCUAUUAGCUGUUUGACCAUUAUAAAAGUAUCUAUCGGUAGUCUAACUAUUCCCCUAUUGGACUGAACAGGCAAAAGGUCAAAAUUGUUCAUCUUCACUUCACACCAGGCAUGUUCUUAAAAAAAGUGCUUUGUUACAACUUGCCCCGUGGUUGGGGCUAGUUGUAACAGCCAUGAGACAGGUAGUACCAGUAAAAAUAAAGCUGAUGUUGAUACAUAUUUAGACUUUAUUUUUCAAAAAUCAACACAACACUUCAUUAUAUACAAUUUUUUUUCAGUAAAACUGAAAUAAACUUUUAGAAAAAGAGUCAACAUUAAAAAUUUGAGUGUUGUCUUCCUUUUUCUUAAUAUAUCUGGAAAGCGAUAUAUGGCAUAGGUCAAAAUUUUGGCUCGCUUUUCGUAUGCUAGGUACGAGAUUUGUAGAAGUGAAUUUGGGAUAAGUUGUAACAUGUUACAACUUGCCCCGUAGCACAAUUUUCUACAUUUAAUUAGAUUUCGACAAAAUUAUUUCGCUUAGCUUCAAAAUGUGUAAGAAAUAUCAAAGCUGAGUAAUUUUUGCGCUACAUGCAAAACUAAAAGUUUUAAAUUAAUUAAUAACUGAUACGAAAAACCAAAUUUUACUAAAGCAAUAUUUUACAUAACUUGACCAAAACGAAACACGUGCACACAUCCACUCACUGCGCUGGCUCAAGGAACAGUGGUUGUGAUGACAUGAUGUCUUAUGGUGCAAGAAUUAAAUUCAGUAAAAUACCUGACGUUAAAGAGUUUAAAUUGUGGGUAAAAAUUUAGUGUUACAACUUACCCCUGUUACAACAAGCCCCUAGUUCUCCUACUCCAAGCAUGUGGCAAAAUUUUUGUAAACAUUGUGAAAAACAUAUUUUGGCAGAUUGGGAAAAAAUAUGGGAAAUCUUUCUUACGAAUCUAUACUUCCUUUCAUUAUUUCGCUAGGUGAAUCUGAUUCAGAAUCUGAAUUUGAAAAUGACGGUGAUGAUACAGAUUUUCAUAGCGAAAUAAUGGAAAUGGAGUGAAUUGUAGCUUGUCGGGGAGUGAUAUUUUUACGCAUCUUUCGUUCUAAAUUUAUCAAGGUAGUAUGUGAAAAACUACCUGACGUACAACAAAAUAAGUAUAAUUUUAGUUAGAUCAUCCACGUUGUUACUUUGCACCAAAUUUUAAGCAUUUUCAUUUUUUUUUUUGUAACUCUUCAUGGACCUGGAGAAGGCGUAUAGUAACGUUCUUAUUAAUAAGCGUUUGGAAGUACCUAGUAAAAGCAAAUAAAGAGCACUUACGUAAGCAUUAGUAAUAGCUAUAUAGAUAAAUCAUGUUUCAGAAGAGCUAAACCCAUCAAAGCACUAGAGCAAGGUUGUUGUCUUUUAGCAACCCUUUUAGUAAUCUUAGAAAAGUGAAAAAAGAAGUUGGAAGAUAUGGAAAUAGGCUGCUCACGAAGGUCGAAAUUUCCAUUUCUAAGAAGAGUGGGCGAGCAGAACGAACUGAUGAUUGAGAAUUAAAGAUGAGAUGCUAAAUGUGGCAUGCAACAAUAGUCGUAUGUAGAACCCCCAUUCAUAUAAAAACAAUGUUUAAGGGUCCCCAGUCGUCGCCCGCAAAAUCGGUUUCAAUGAGAAGAAUUUUUUGUAACUAUGCAACCCAAAGUACCGAUCCACGGCAGGUAGCGACCCAAGAGAGGAGAGAUUAUGGCCACUGUAGGGAGUCCGUCAUAAAAUGCAAAUCGUUAAACAACACCAGAUAAGCUUAUUUAUUUUCGAAUGAAGGGUACAGGGAAAUAACCAUCG